Molecule: long non-coding RNA, 151 nt
Organism: Octopus sinensis (East Asian common octopus)
Lineage: Eukaryota; Metazoa; Mollusca; Cephalopoda; Octopoda; Octopodidae
Exons: 3
Source: RefSeq, a predicted model, not a curated record
AUAAAAUUUUGUAACUAAAUAAUGAUGUCUUUGUAACAGCUUUCUCACAGUUUGUAGAUCUAAGUAACAUUUCUAUGACUAGCACGAAUAAGAUGACUGAUAUCGUGCAUCCGGCUGCAAUACCUAUUUCAAGCCGUUGCCACUCCUUUGU